GUGAGGAAUAUUGCGCAAUGGAGGCAACUCUGACGCAGCCAUGCCGCGUGCAGGAAGAAGGCGCUACGCGUUGUAAACUGCUUUUAACCGGGAAGAAACCCCAGGACGUGUCCUGGGUUGACGGUACCGGAGGAAUAAGCACCGGCUAACUUCGUGCCAGCAGCCGCGGUAAUACGAAGGGUGCAAGCGUUAUCCGGAUUAAUUGGGUUUAAAGGGUGCGUAGGCGGAGCGUUAAGUCAGUGGUGAAAUCCUGCAGCUUAACUGUAGACUUGCCAUUGAUACUGGCGCUCUUGAGUGCGCUUGAAGUGGGCGGAAUGUGCCGUGUAGCGGUGAAAUGCUUAGAUAUGGCACAGAACACCAAUUGCGAAGGCAGCUCACUAAGGCGAUACUGACGCUGAGGCACGAAAGCGUGGGGAUCGAACAGGAUUAGAAACCCUGGUAGUCC
Molecule: ribosomal RNA, 445 nt
Filed under: uncultured bacterium
Lineage: Bacteria
Description: partial 16S ribosomal RNA
Rfam family: Bacterial small subunit ribosomal RNA
Source: RNAcentral